ACCCGCUGAAUUUAAGCAUAUCAAUAAGCGGAGGAAAAGAAACCAACAGGGAUUGCCUUAGUAACGGCGAGUGAAGCGGCAAAAGCUCAAAUUUGAAAUCGGCCACCAGGUCGAGUUGUAAUUUGUAGAUUGUAUCUUGAGAGCGGAUUAAAGUCUGUUGGAACACAGCGCCUUAGAGGGUGACAGCCCCGUAAAAUCUAUUCUCAUUGUAAGAUACUUUCGAAGAGUCGAGUUGUUUGGGAAUGCAGCUCUAAGUGGGAGGUAAAUUCCUUCUAAAGCUAAAUAUUGACGAGAGACCGAUAGCGAACAAGUACUGUGAAGGAAAGAUGAAAAGCACUUUGAAAAGAGAGUGAAAAAGUACGUGAAAUUGUUAAAAGGGAAGGGUAUUGAAUCAGACUUGGUGCUGUUGUUCAACUGUGUUUCGGCAUAGUGUACUCAGCAGUACUAGGCCAAGGUGGGGUGUUUGGGAGUGAAAAAGAGGUUGGAACGUAACUCUUCGGAGUGUUAUAGCCUACUUUCAUAGCUCCUCAGGCGCCUCAGGACUGCGCUUCGGCAAGGACCUUGGCAUAAUGAUUCUAUACCGCCCGUCUUGAAACACGGACCAAGGAG
RNAcentral lists this ribosomal RNA (609 nucleotides) under uncultured fungus. Its description in RNAcentral is "eukaryotic LSU rRNA". It matches the Rfam family "Eukaryotic large subunit ribosomal RNA", at positions 23 to 673 of the family's 3401-position model. The record is from RNAcentral. Lineage: Eukaryota; Fungi.